Molecule: ribosomal RNA, 253 nt
Filed under: uncultured bacterium
Lineage: Bacteria
Description: partial 16S ribosomal RNA
Rfam family: Bacterial small subunit ribosomal RNA
Source: RNAcentral
GACGAACCGUGCGAACGUUGUUCGGAAUCACUGGGCUUAAAGGGCGCGUAGGCGGUCUGCCAAGUCCGGGGUGAAAGCCUCCAGCUCAACUGGAGAAGUGCCUUGGAUACUGGCGGACUCGAGCGAGAUAGGGGUCGUGGGAACUUCCGGUGGAGCGGUGAAAUGCGUUGAUAUCGGAAGGAACGCCGGUGGCGAAAGCGCACGACUGGAUCUCUUCUGACGCUGAGGCGCGAAAGCCAGGGGAGCAAACGGG